This 1409-nucleotide ribosomal RNA is filed under the name uncultured bacterium. RNAcentral's name for it is "bacterial SSU rRNA". It matches the Rfam family "Bacterial small subunit ribosomal RNA". The record is from RNAcentral.
GGAUGAACGCUGGCGGCGUGCUUAACACAUGCAAGUCGAACGAACCUUCGGGUUAGUGGCGGACGGGUGAGUAACGCGUGAGAAUCUGCCCUCAGGAGGGGGACAACAGCUGGAAACGGCUGCUAAUACCCCAUAUGCCGCGAGGUGAAAUGAAUUUCGCCUGAGGAUGAGCUCGCGUCUGAUUAGCUAGUUGGUGUAGGUAAUGGCUCACCAAGGCAUCGAUCAGUAGCUGGUCUGAGAGGAUGAUCAGCCACACUGGGACUGAGACACGGCCUAGACUCCUACGGGAGGCAGCAGUGGGGAAUUUUCCGCAAUGGGCGAAAGCCUGACGGAGCAACGCCGCGUGAGGGAUGAAGGCCUCUGGGCUGUAAACCUCUUUUAUCAAGGAAGAAGACCUGACGGUACUUGAUGAAUAAGCCACGGCUAAUUCCGUGCCAGCAGCCGCGGUAAUACGGGAGUGGCAAGCGUUAUCCGGAAUUAUUGGGCGUAAAGCGUCCGCAGGCGGCCCUUCAAGUCUGCUGUUAAAAAGUGGAGCUUAACUCCAUCAUGGCAGUGGAAACUGUUGGGCUUGAGUGUGGUAGGGGGCAGAGGGAAUUCCCGGUGUAGCGGUGAAAUGCGUACAUAUCGGGGAAAAACACCAGUGGCGAAGGCGCUCUGCUGGGCCAUCACUGACGCUCAUGACGAAAGCCAGGGGAGCGAAAGGGAUUAGAUACCCCUGUAGUCCUGGCCGUAAACGAUGAACACUAGGUGUCGGGGGAAUCGACCCCCUCGGUGUCGUAGCCAACGCGUUAAGUGUUCCGCCUGGGGAGUACGCACGCAAGUGUGAAACUCAAAGGAAUUGACGGGGGCCCGCACAAGCGGUGGAGUAUGUGGUUUAAUUCGAUGCAACGCGAAGAACCUUACCAGGGUUUGACAUCCUGCGAAUCUCUUGGAAACAGGAGAGUGCCUUCGGGAACGCAGUGACAGGUGGUGCAUGGCUGUCGUCAGCUCGUGUCGUGAGAUGUUGGGUUAAGUCCCGCAACGAGCGCAACCCACGUCUUUAGUUGCCAGCAUUUAGUUGGGCACUCUAGAGAGACUGCCGGUGAUAAACCGGAGGAAGGUGUGGAUGACGUCAAGUCAUCAUGCCCCUUACAUCCUGGGCUACACACGUACUACAAUGCUACGGACAAAGGGCAGCAAGUUCGCGAGGACAAGCAAAUCCCAUAAACCGUGGCUCAGUUCAGAUCGUAGGCUGCAACUCGCCUACGUGAAGGCGGAAUCGCUAGUAAUCGCAGGUCAGCAUACUGCGGUGAAUACGUUCCCGGGCCUUGUACACACCGCCCGUCACACCAUGGAAGUUGGCCACGCCCGAAGCCGUUACUCCAACCCUUGUGGAGGAGGACGUCGAAGGUGGGGCUGAUGACUGGGGU